UGGAUGAGCCCGCGGCCUAUCAGCUUGUUGGUGGGGUAAUGGCCUACCAAGGCUUCGACGGGUAGCCGGCCUGAGAGGGUGACCGGCCACACUGGGACUGAGACACGGCCCAGACUCCUACGGGAGGCAGCAGUGGGGAAUAUUGGACAAUGGGCGGAAGCCUGAUCCAGCAACGCCGCGUGAGGGAUGACGGCCUUCGGGUUGUAAACCUCUUUCAGCACAGACGAAGCGCAAGUGACGGUAUGUGCAGAAGAAGGACCGGCCAACUACGUGCCAGCAGCCGCGGUAAU
Molecule: ribosomal RNA, 290 nt
Filed under: uncultured bacterium
Lineage: Bacteria
Description: partial 16S ribosomal RNA
Rfam family: Bacterial small subunit ribosomal RNA
Source: RNAcentral